GACGGAGGGGGCAAGCGUUGUCCGGACUUACUGGGCGUAAAGCGCGUGUAGGUGGCAGUCUGCGUCGGCGCUGAAAGCGCCAGGCUUAACCUGGCGAGGCGUGCCGAUACGAGACCGCUUGAGGCAGGGAGAGGGUAGCGGAAUUCCGGGUGUAGUGGUGAAAUGCGUAGAGAUCCGGAGGAACGCCUGAGGCGAAAGCGGCUACCUGGCCCUGUUCUGACACUGAGACGCGACAGCGUGGGGAGCAAACCGGAUUAGAUACCCGGGUAGUCCACGCCGUAAACGAUGCCAGCUCGGUGUCUGGGGCCCGUUCAGGGCCCUGGGUGCCUUAGCUCACGCGGUAAGCUGGCCGCCUGGGGACUACGAGCGCAAGCUUAAA
RNAcentral lists this ribosomal RNA (379 nucleotides) under uncultured bacterium. RNAcentral describes it as "bacterial SSU rRNA". It matches the Rfam family "Bacterial small subunit ribosomal RNA", at positions 524 to 898 of the family's 1533-position model. The record is from RNAcentral.